GACGAACGCUGGCGGCGUGCCUAAUACAUGCAAGUCGAACGCAGUGGGGACGGGUGAGUAACACGUGGGUAACCUCCUAUACGACUGGAUAACUUCGGGAAACCGGAGCUAAACCGAUACUUAUAGAUGGAUCUGCCCUGCAUUAGCUAGUUGGUAAGGUAACGGCUUACCAAGGCAACGAUGCAUCACCGCCCUGAGAGGGUGAUCGGCGACACUGGAAAUGAGACACGGUCCAAACUCCUAAGGAAGUCAGCAGUAGGGAAUCUUCGGCAAAGGACGAAAGUCUGACCGAGGAACGCAGCGGGAGUGAAGAAGGUUUUCGGAUCGUAAAACUCUGUUAUUAGAGAAGCGGUAACUAAACAGAAAGCCACGGCUAACUACGUGCCAGCAGCCGCGGUAAUAC
This 403-nucleotide ribosomal RNA is filed under the name uncultured bacterium. RNAcentral describes it as "partial 16S ribosomal RNA". It matches the Rfam family "Bacterial small subunit ribosomal RNA", at positions 28 to 526 of the family's 1533-position model. The record is from RNAcentral.